Molecule: ribosomal RNA, 1342 nt
Filed under: uncultured bacterium
Lineage: Bacteria
Description: bacterial SSU rRNA
Rfam family: Bacterial small subunit ribosomal RNA
Source: RNAcentral
GGAUGAACGUUGGCGGCGUGCCUAAUACAUGCAAGUCGAACGAAGACUGUAGUAAUACUGUCUUAGUGGCGAACGGGUGAGUAACGCGUGGGUGACCUGCCCCGAAGUGUGGGAUAACAGUCCGAAAGGAUUGCUAAUACUGCAUAAUAUCCAAGAGAUUAGAUGCUUUUGGAUUAAAGGAGUAAUUCGCUUCGGGAGGGGCCCGCGUCCCAUCAGCUAGUUGGUAAGGUAAUGGCUUACCAAGGCGAUGACGGGUAGGGGACCUGAGAGGGUGGCCCCCCACAAUGGAACUGAAACACGGUCCAUACACUUACGGGUGGCAGCAGUAGGGAAUAUUAGUAAUGGGCGAAAGCCUGAACUAGCAACGCCGCGUGUGCGAAGAAGGCCUUCGGGUCGUAAAGCACUUUUUGAGAGGAUGAGGAAGGACGGUACUCUCAGAAUAAGUCUCGGCUAACUACGUGCCAGCAGCCGCGGUAACACGUAGGAGGCAAACGUUAUCCGGAUUUACUGGGCGUAAAGCGCGUGUAGGUGGUUUGGUAAGUAGGGCGUGAAAGCUCCUGGCUCAACUGGGAGAGGACGUUCUAAACUGCCAAGCUUGAGGAUGGUAGAGGGAGGUGGAAUUCCGGGUGUAGCGGUGGAAUGCGCAGAUAUCCGGAGGAACACCAGUGGCGAAGGCGGCCUCCUGGACCACUCCUGACACUCAGACGCGAAAGCUAGGGUAGCAAACGGGAUUAGAGACCCCGGUAGUCCUAGCCCUAAACGAUGUAGACUUGGCGUCGGUGGUUUAAUCGCCAUCGGUGUCGUAGCUAACGCGAUAAGUCUACCGCCUGGGGACUACGGCCGCAAGGUUAAAACUCAAAGGAAUUGACGGGUCCCCGCACAAGCAGCGGAGCGUGUGGUUUAAUUCGAUGCUACACGAAGAACCUUACCUGGGUUUGACAUCCACGGGAGGCUUCAGAGAUGGAGCUGUGCCGGCGUAAGCUGGAGCCGUGAGACAGGUGCUGCAUGGCUGUCGUCAGCUCGUGUCGUGAGAUGUUGGGUUAAGUCCCGCAACGAGCGCAACCCUUGCCUUCAGUUACCAUCAUUAAGUUGGGGACUCUGGAGGGACCGCUGCGGUAACAACGCAGAGGAAGAUGGGGACGACGUCAAGUCAUCAUGGUCCUUAUGGCCGGGGCUACACACGUGCUACAAUGGCAGUUACAGAGGGAUGCGAUUCAGUAAUGAGGAGCGAAACUCAGAAAAGCUGCCGCAGUUCGGAUUGAGGUCUGCAACUCGGCCUCAUGAAGUCGGAAUCGCUAGUAAUCGCGCAACAUCAUGGCGCGGUGAAUACGUUCCCGGGCCU